Molecule: ribosomal RNA, 1200 nt
Filed under: Acinetobacter baumannii
Lineage: Bacteria; Pseudomonadati; Pseudomonadota; Gammaproteobacteria; Moraxellales; Moraxellaceae
Description: partial 23S ribosomal RNA
Rfam family: Bacterial large subunit ribosomal RNA
Source: RNAcentral
GUUUAGUUGCUGGGUAUAGACCCGAAACCAGGCGAUCUAUCCAUGAGCAGGUUGAAGGUUGGGUAACACUAACUGGAGGACCGAACCCACUGUCGUUGAAAAGCCAGGGGAUGACUUGUGGAUAGGGGUGAAAGGCUAAUCAAGCCUGGUGAUAGCUGGUUCUCCCCGAAAGCUAUUUAGGUAGCGCCUCGGACGAAUACCAUAGGGGGUAGAGCACUGUUUCGGCUAGGGGGUCAUCCCGACUUACCAAACCGAUGCAAACUCCGAAUACCUAUGAGUACUAUCCGGGAGACAGACUGCGGGUGCUAACGUCCGUAGUCAAGAGGAAAACAAUCCAGACCGCCAGCUAAGGCCCCAAAAUCAUAGUUAAGUGGGAAACGAUGUGGGAAGGCAUAGACAGCUAGGAGGUUGGCUUAGAAGCAGCCACCCUUUAAAGAAAGCGUAAUAGCUCACUAGUCGAGUCGGCCUGCGCGGAAGAUGUAACGGGGCUAAAACUAUGUGCCGAAGCUGCGGAUGUAUACUUUGUAUACGUGGUAGGGGAGCGUUCUGUAAGCCGAUGAAGGUGUGUUGAGAAGCAUGCUGGAGGUAUCAGAAGUGCGAAUGCUGACGUGAGUAACGACAAAACGGGUGAAAAACCCGUUCGCCGAAAGACCAAGGGUUCCAGUCCAACGUUAAUCGGGGCUGGGUGAGUCGACCCCUAAGGCGAGGCCGAAAGGCGUAGUCGAUGGGAAAAUGGUUAAUAUUCCAUUACUUCUGUGUAAUGCGAUGAGAGGACGGAGAAGGCUAAAUCAGCCUGGCGUUGGUUGUCCAGGUGAAAGGAUGUAGGCAUGUAUCUUAGGCAAAUCCGGGGUACUCUAUGCUGAGAUCUGAUAGCAAGCUGUACUUGUACAGCGAAGUGGUUGAUGCCAUGCUUCCAGGAAAAGUCUCUAAGCUUCAGUUACACAGGAAUCGUACCCGAAACCGACACAGGUGGUCAGGUCGAGUAGACCAAGGCGCUUGAGAGAACUCUGCUGAAGGAACUAGGCAAAAUGGUACCGUAACUUCGGGAGAAGGUACGCUGUUGUUGGUGAUGGAACUCGCUUCCUGAGCUGACGACAGCCGCAGAAACCAGGCCGCUGCAACUGUUUAUUAAAAACAUAGCACUCUGCAAACACGAAAGUGGACGUAUAGGGUGUGAUGCCUGCCCGGUGCUGGAAGGUU